RNAcentral lists this unclassified non-coding RNA (24 nucleotides) under Mus musculus (house mouse). RNAcentral's name for it is "oocyte_clustered_small_RNA10820". Lineage: Eukaryota; Metazoa; Chordata; Mammalia; Rodentia; Muridae. The record is from RNAcentral.
UGAUGUACUUGGCUGUUGGAAGGG